This 530-nucleotide ribosomal RNA is filed under the name uncultured prokaryote. Its description in RNAcentral is "bacterial SSU rRNA". It matches the Rfam family "Bacterial small subunit ribosomal RNA", at positions 355 to 896 of the family's 1533-position model. The record is from RNAcentral.
UGGGGAAUAUCGGGCAAUGGAGGAAACUCUGACCCAGCGACGCCGCGUGCAGGAUGAAGGCCUUCGGGUUGUAAACCGCUUUCAGUAGGGAAGAAGCGAAAGUGACGGUACCUACAAAAGAAGCACCGGCUAACUAUGUGCCAGCAGCCGCGGUAAUACAUAGGGUGCAAGCGUUGUCCGGAAUUAUUGGGCGUAAAGAGCUCGUAGGUCGUUUGUUACGUCGGAUGUGAAAACCUGAGGCUCAACCUCAGGCCUGCAUUCGAUACGGGCAAACUAGAGUUUGGUAGGGGAGACUGGAAUUCCUGGUGUAGCGGUGGAAUGCGCAGAUAUCAGGAGGAACACCAAUGGCGAAGGCAGGUCUCUGGGCCAAUACUGACACUGAGGAGCGAAAGUCUGGGGAGCGGACAGGAUUAGAUACCCUGGUAGCCCAGACCGUAAACGGUGGGCACUAGUUGUGGGAACCUUCCACGGUUUCUGCGACGCAGCUAACGCAUUAAGUGCCCCGCCUGGGGAGUACGAUCGCAAGAUUA